CUCCGCCGGCGACCGGCGCACGGGUGAGUAACACGUAUGCAACCUGCCCCUGUCAGGGGGACAACCCGCCGAAAGGCGGGCUAAACCCGCGUACAUGCCACCGGGGCAUCCCGGAGGCAGGAAAGGCUUCGGCCGGACAGGGAUGGGCAUGCGGCGCAUUAGGCAGUAGGCGGGGUAACGGCCCACCUAACCGACGAUGCGUAGGGGUUCUGAGAGGAAGGUCCCUCACACUGGUACUGAGACACGGACCAGACUCCUACGGAAGGCAGCAG
RNAcentral lists this ribosomal RNA (272 nucleotides) under uncultured bacterium. RNAcentral describes it as "partial 16S ribosomal RNA". It matches the Rfam family "Bacterial small subunit ribosomal RNA", at positions 83 to 354 of the family's 1533-position model. The record is from RNAcentral.